GCACAGUGGUGCAAUGGGUAGCACUGUUGCCUCACAGCAAGAAAAGUCCUGGGUUUGAAUCCUGGCAUGGGCC
RNAcentral lists this transfer RNA (73 nucleotides) under Anguilla anguilla (European eel). RNAcentral describes it as "tRNA-OTHER". Lineage: Eukaryota; Metazoa; Chordata; Actinopteri; Anguilliformes; Anguillidae. The record is from RNAcentral.